GAUGAACGCUGGCGGCGUGCUUAACACAUGCAAGUCGAACGAAGCACCUGGAUUUGAUUCUUCGGAUGAAGAUCCUUGUGACUGAGUGGCGGACGGGUGAGUAACGCGUGGGUAACCUGCCUCAUACAGGGGGAUAACAGUUAGAAAUGACUGCUAAUACCGCAUAAGACCACAGGGUCGCAUGACCUGGUGGGAAAAACUCCGGUGGUAUGAGAUGGACCCGCGUCUGAUUAGGUAGUUGGUGGGGUAACGGCCUACCAAGCCGACGAUCAGUAGCCGACCUGAGAGGGUGACCGGCCACAUUGGGACUGAGACACGGCCCAAACUCCUACGGGAGGCAGCAGUGGGGAAUAUUGCACAAUGGGGGAAACCCUGAUGCAGCGACGCCGCGUGAGCGAAGAAGUAUUUCGGUAUGUAAAGCUCUAUCAGCAGGGAAGAAAAUGACGGUACCUGACUAAGAAGCACCGGCUAAAUACGUGCCAGCAGCCGCGGUAAUACGUAUGGUGCAAGCGUUAUCCGGAUUUACUGGGUGUAAAGGGAGCGUAGACGGCUGUGUAAGUCUGAAGUGAAAGCCCGGGGCUCAACCCCGGGACUGCUUUGGAAACUAUGCAGCUAGAGUGUCGGAGAGGUAAGUGGAAUUCCCAGUGUAGCGGUGAAAUGCGUAGAUAUUGGGAGGAACACCAGUGGCGAAGGCGGCUUACUGGACGAUGACU
RNAcentral lists this ribosomal RNA (713 nucleotides) under uncultured Lachnospiraceae bacterium. Its description in RNAcentral is "bacterial SSU rRNA". It matches the Rfam family "Bacterial small subunit ribosomal RNA", at positions 28 to 741 of the family's 1533-position model. The record is from RNAcentral. Lineage: Bacteria; Bacillati; Bacillota; Clostridia; Lachnospirales; Lachnospiraceae.